GGACGAACGCUGGCGGCGUGCUUAACCCAUGCAAGUCGAACGGAAAGGCCCUGCUUUUGUGGGGUGCUCGAGUGGCGAACGGGUGAGUAACACGUGAGUAACCUACCCUUGACUUUGGGAUAACUUCAGGAAACUGGGGCUAAUACCGGAUAGGAGCUCCUGCUGCAUGGUGGGGGUUGGAAAGUUUCGGCGGUUGGGGAUGGACUCGCGGCUUAUCAGCUUGUUGGUGGGGUAGUGGCUUACCAAGGCUUUGACGGGUAGCCGGCCUGAGAGGGUGACCGGCCACAUUGGGACUGAGAUACGGCCCAGACUCCUACGGGAGGCAGCAGUGGGGAAUAUUGCACAAUGGGCGGAAGCCUGAUGCAGCAACGCCGCGUGCGGGAUGACGGCCUUCGGGUUGUAAACCGCUUUCGCCUGUGACGAAGCGUGAGUGACGGUAAUGGGUAAAGAAGCACCGGCUAACUACGUG
Molecule: ribosomal RNA, 469 nt
Filed under: uncultured bacterium
Lineage: Bacteria
Description: partial 16S ribosomal RNA
Rfam family: Bacterial small subunit ribosomal RNA
Source: RNAcentral